RNAcentral lists this long non-coding RNA (240 nucleotides) under Pan troglodytes (chimpanzee). Its description in RNAcentral is "long non-coding RNA NONPTRT011492". The record is from RNAcentral. Lineage: Eukaryota; Metazoa; Chordata; Mammalia; Primates; Hominidae.
CAUGCUAAGCAUACUUUCAUAUCAGAUCCUAUAAUUUUACUGUUUUUGCUAUCUGAAAUUUUCACCGCUUCACACCAGACAAAAUCCACCAGAAGAGGCCACACUUAUGCUACUUUUAAGUCUUUGUAUAUUUCCAAACCCUCAUCAAAGGUAACCACUCUGCAUUCGUCUCCUACACACACACACACACACACACACACAAAAACCUGUUCAUUCACAUGUCUCUCAUCAUAUUGCCUG